UUGCCAUGUUGUACUGUGCCGCAGGACCAUGGACUGAAGCCAGAAGCUAAAAUAAUUUUAGAAAAUAGUCUUAUCCUGUGUGGGUUCACACGUGUAUGGGAACCAUGGCACAUGUGUGGCGGUCAGAGGGCAACUGGUGGAAUCUUGGGUUGUGGAACUUUACACUGUGUGAAUACAUGUCACUGCGUUGGUUUAAUAAACAAGCUGACUGGCCAAUAGCUGAACGGAAUAAGGUUAAGUGGGAGAGACAAACUGAGAAUGCUGGGAAGGAGAAGGCGAGGUCCAGGGUCGUCAGCAGAAAGAGCCAAGGUGGGCAUGCCGUGUUGUGAAAAGGUCCCAAGCCACAUGGCCGAGCAUAGAUGAGAAAUGGGGGUUAACUUAAAUAUAUGAGUUAGUAACAAACUUGCGCUGUUGGCUGAACAUUUAUAAUUUAUAUUGUCUCUGUGUCGGUAAUUUGGGAACUGGCAGGUGGGAAAGAAACUUCUGCCAACAUUGGGGAUUGAAUUUUGGUCCCCAGGCGUGGAAGCAAGCACCUUUACCUGCAAGCCCAAGAUACACUUUGAAGAAGUUGAUUACUGGGAGGCUGGAGAAAUGGUUCAGUGAUUAAGAGCAAGUCCCGCCCUUGCAGAGGACCCGCGUCUGGCGGCCCACAUGUGACUCGUUUGUGUAGGGUCGGGUUGAAGUCCUGUAAGAAAUUCCUAUGUGUGUGGUAUGAAGCCAGAGCAGCGGUGGAGACCCAGCACGUCAGAUGCCAGGAAUAUGGGCUGCCUCCUGUGAGGGGCAUGUCGGGUAGUAAGCCCAGCUCCCCCAAAGAAUGGCUGUGUGGACGGACUGCAUCCAGGAGGCUCACAGCUUACAAAUGAAUUUGCCUGGUGUGUCAAAGAAAACAUUUGAACUUUUGAGCAACAUUGGACCAGCUAAAGAUUUGGACGAUCUAAAAAUGCAUUUUGCAUUAUGAAAUGGACAUGAGCCUUUGGGGGGGGCUGUAGCUGUAAAAAUAAACGGCAUACUUGUUGAGGG
Molecule: long non-coding RNA, 1020 nt
Organism: Mesocricetus auratus (golden hamster)
Lineage: Eukaryota; Metazoa; Chordata; Mammalia; Rodentia; Cricetidae
Exons: 2
Source: RefSeq, a predicted model, not a curated record